GGAAACGUUUAAGGAACCACCAGCCUGGGUGACGGGUGUAGAUGGAGAAGAGAGAUUGUGGCUGAGCCUAGAAGUGAAGAAAAGGCAAAAUAAAGACAUUAGAGCUAAGUAGAGGUAGAAUUUGCUUUCAAAGAAGAUUUUAUUGCCGCUAAAGGAAACCAUCCAUGGCAAUCAAUCAAAGGAAUAGCGCGAACUGGUUGGAGGGGAAAGCACAAACUGGUAUACAUCUGUUCCUGCUCAGUUCACGCAAUAAAAAAAAGCAGAUUAGGGUUUUUUCAAACCGGGUCACUCUUGACCUGUUUAAUGAAUCCUUUUUGUUGGUUGCUGCAAAAUAGGGUGUUAUUUUGACAUGUUUAUUGAUUGUAUAUCUCAUUCCUAUAUAUAAUGAUGCAAGGGAGGGAAAAAACCACCUUUAGUUUGAAGUUAUGAGCCAUAUUUUUUCUGUGUAGUCUUCUCUAAGAUGGCUGCGUGACCAGAUAAUGUUGUCUGGCUUCCUAGACUUCCAUCAGCAUAAUUUUUGUCAAUCUAACCUGUUACUACUUCCAUCUUGGUUCCCGCAGCAGCUACCAAUUCCUCUGGGCAAAAUGUGUAUGCAAUCAAUGAUACCCUUUCAGCUGAGAGAGUCAGAUAAUUAUGAGACACGUCUCAGACAAUUGGUCAAUAACAGUGUGAUUACUUUAUCACAGACGAGUGAAUUUUCAAAUGCCACUUUUCUGUGAUGUCGUUGAAAUGAAUCAAAUAAUCACUUCACUCCCUGAAUUUCUUACUUGGCUUCUUAUAUUUCUUUAAUCUAAAAUUCAAAUACUAGCAAUAGUAAUGAGAGUAUCCUCGUGGCUUGAUUUUCAGAGGUAGUCUUAAAUCACCGUGGUCAUAUAGGAAAAGGAAGCAUAUUUCACCUCAGCUGUUUACCAUAGAUGGUGGAAUUAAAUUCCUGAAAAGAGUUCACAGUGGAGUGGGUUCACUAAUCUGAUUGUUUAGAUUUUAAAUUCUUUGGUUUGGCUGUUUCUCCUUGAACUUGAUUACGUAUAUAAGUAACUGAUGCGUAGGGUGUUGAUCCUAGUAUUAGAGCUAAAGUUUGGCCUUUCCUACUCGGAGUGUAAGCAUGCUAUCUUUUAUGCUUGAUUUCUAGAUAAUGCUUAUCGAUUAUUUUUCUUACAUAUUUGGGAUCUAGGAAAUUUGGAUCACUUAAUGGCAUGAGAUACAAAAUGGACCUGCUGUUAUGUGAUUUGAAAUAUCUUGCUCCUGGUUUUUUUACCUUGUUGCAGCUUGGUUGUGAAGAACCUUGGUUAUCUCUUGUUUACCUUAGAAAAACUAUAUUAUUUGCUUCAUCUUAUGCAGUAUUUAAAACUUUAUUUUUGUGCGUACUUCAAUCAUCUUUUUCAUUCAGUUUAAUUCUAAUUCUUUAAAUGCAGAAAGGAGUAUGAGAAAUUUCGCAGACAAUGCUGGCAUAUGUUAAAGCACAGCUAUGAAGGGGGAUGGUGGAAGUCUGUUAGGUUCCUUUUGGAACCUAACGAGAACUCACUAAAAAGAUAGAGAUAGAAAGAAAGAAAUGGG
This 1554-nucleotide long non-coding RNA is filed under the name Vigna radiata. RNAcentral describes it as "long non-coding RNA (VRAD_LNC010254)". Lineage: Eukaryota; Viridiplantae; Streptophyta; Magnoliopsida; Fabales; Fabaceae. The record is from RNAcentral.